RNAcentral lists this ribosomal RNA (429 nucleotides) under Bacteroidota bacterium. Its description in RNAcentral is "Bacteroidetes bacterium partial 16S ribosomal RNA". It matches the Rfam family "Bacterial small subunit ribosomal RNA", at positions 355 to 776 of the family's 1533-position model. The record is from RNAcentral. Lineage: Bacteria; Pseudomonadati; Bacteroidota.
UAGGGAAUCUUCGGCCAUGGGGGGAACCCUGACCGAGCAACGCCGCGGGAGUGAAGAAGGUUUUCGGAUCGUAAAGCUCUGUUGUUAAGGAAGAACGAGUGUGAGAAUGGAAAGUUCAUGCUGUGACGGUACUUAACCAGAAAGGGACGGCUAACUACGUGCCAGCAGCCGCGGUAAUACGUAGGUCCCGAGCGUUGUCCGGAUUUAUUGGGCGUAAAGCGAGCGCAGGCGGUUAGAAAAGUCUGAAGUGAAAGGCAGUGGCUCAACCAUGGUAGGCUUUGGAAACUGGUUAACUUGAGUGCAGAAGGGGGGGGAGGAAUUCCAGGUGUAGCGGUGAAAUGCGUAGAUAUAUGGAGGAACAACGGUGGCGAAAGCGGCUCUCUGGUCUGUAACUGACGCUGAGGCUCGAAAGCGUGGGUAGCAAACAGG